GGAGAGAUGGCUCCACGAUUGAGAGCACUGGCUUUUUCCAGAGGGCCUGGGUUCAAAUCCCAGCACCUCCA
Molecule: transfer RNA, 71 nt
Filed under: Mesocricetus auratus (golden hamster)
Lineage: Eukaryota; Metazoa; Chordata; Mammalia; Rodentia; Cricetidae
Rfam family: tRNA
About the family: Transfer RNA (tRNA) molecules are approximately 80 nucleotides in length. Their secondary structure includes four short double-helical elements and three loops (D, anti-codon, and T loops).
Source: Rfam by way of RNAcentral